This 453-nucleotide ribosomal RNA is filed under the name uncultured bacterium. Its description in RNAcentral is "bacterial SSU rRNA". It matches the Rfam family "Bacterial small subunit ribosomal RNA", at positions 52 to 518 of the family's 1533-position model. The record is from RNAcentral.
CACAUGUAAGUCGAACGGACGAGAAAGAAGCUUGCUCUUCGAGUUAGUGGCGGACGGGUGAGUAACACGUGAGUAACCUGCCUUUUUGAGGGGGAUAACGUUUGGAAACGAACGCUAAUACCGCAUAAUAUAUAUUGUACGCAUGUACGAUAUAUCAAAGGAGCAAUCCGCAGAAAGAUGGACUCGCGUCUGAUUAGCUAGUUGGUGAGGUAAUGGCCCACCAAGGCGACGAUCAGUAGCCGGACUGAGAGGUUGAACGGCCACAUUGGGACUGAGACACGGCCCAGACUCCUACGGGAGGCAGCAGUGGGGAAUAUUGCACAAUGGGGGAAACCCUGAUGCAGCGAUGCCGCGUGGAGGAAGAAGGUUUUCGGAUUGUAAACUCCUGUCUUCAGGGACGAUAAUGACGGUACCUGAGGAGGAAGCACCGGCUAACUACGUGCCAGCAGCUGC